Peromyscus maniculatus bairdii (prairie deer mouse) is the source of this 2149-nucleotide long non-coding RNA. RefSeq lists it as uncharacterized. Lineage: Eukaryota; Metazoa; Chordata; Mammalia; Rodentia; Cricetidae. The record is from RefSeq and is a predicted model, not a curated record.
CAAGCCAGCAAGCAGGACUCCUCCAUGGCCUCUGCUGCAGGUGCUGCCUGGAGUCCCAGCCCCGGCUCCACCACCCCACCCCACCCCCGUUACAGACGCUAACCUGUAAGCCACGCAAACACUUCCCACGUGGUUUGUGGCCAGUGUUUCAUCAUAGCAACAAAAGCAAACCAGGAUCAGAAAUUUAAACAGGAUGGUUUUUGAAAUCAAACAAGUUCCUUCUUUGCAUUCAUUAAGUGCGGAUUAAUACUGCUUGAGUUCUAGAUUAAGUGUGUUUCUCACUGUGUAAAAAUGACACAUGCAAUGAAAACCAUGUUGCUGCAAUGCACACGAUUCAGCCCCACUUCCUGCCCUCGGACAGCGAAUGACAGAUGCAAACACUAAACAGGAAUCGGCUCUGCUUCCAGAAAUCAUCUGCUGUGUGAUCUUAGACAAGUGACCUGUGCUCUCCACUCAGAUCCUUGACUUAUCUGCAUUCCUCAGGAAAAGGAGCAAGGGGAGCUGUUCCAGAUCUUUCCGGCUUGAUCUUGCAGCCAGCCACUGCCAUUAGCUCUUUGGACGGGGAUGGAGGAGCCUUGGAAGUCCCUCUCACUUGGUGCUAGCAGAUUUAAGCGGCUUGAUCCUGCAUGGAUCGCGUGCAGAAUCUGACAGAAGUGCCUCUGUGUGGCUUCCAAGACUGGCAUCAUGGAAGACCCCACGGCCUUCUUUACGUCUGCCAUGGAUCGCUUGUUCUGAAGGAAGCGAGCUGCCAACCCAUCCGCUUGUGAGGAUCCUCAGGCUCCUCUCUGGGGAGGAACAAGAGCUCCUGUCAACAACAGCAGGGACCGAGGUCUUUGUCGAAAGCCAAGUGGGUGAGCCCGAGUCCCCCCAUCCCAUGCAGACACGGUCAAGCCUGCAGCCCUGGAUGAUACCUGUCUAGGCUUUUACGAGCUUUCCUGAGCCUUAAACUACCCAUCCAAACUGUUUCUGAGGCACUGAAAUGUGAACUAGUACAUGCUUGAUUUUUUUUUUUACCUGCCAAGUCUUGGGGUAACUUGUUAUAUGGCAACAUAUAAGUAAUAAAUUAUAAUGUUAUAUUUAUAGUAUCAAGCGGUGAGACCCUUAAAAAGAUCCAACAGGACAGUUUUGCUAGAAAGAGAAGAUGUAACCCACGUUAAAGCUGCUUUCUUGCACAUUACAGUGAGUAAAUAAAUUAACAUUGUAAAGCUCACUGUUGGUAGGGCUUCUGGGAGAGAAGAUCAUGACUGGUACUUUACUUAACAUGAUUCAGUGCCCCUGAAGCUGACAGAUGAAAUGAAUGCUAUACUGCUCUCCCUGGGGCAAGAGCCAGAAGUAAAAGCCUCACGCUGGUUUUCACAACGACAUUCCUAUCAGGAAGCACUGUUUGUACUAACGAGGAAAGACUCAGAAACCCAGGAGUAACCAACUGAGCCAUCUCACUGAACCCAGACAGUUCUUUAAGAGCUGGGAGUGGGGGCUCACACUUACCACCCCAGUACCUGGAGGCAGAGACAGGAGAAUUACCAAAAGCUCAAGGCAAUUUUACUUGCACAUUAAGACCUGGUCUCAGAAACAGAACAGAACAAAACAAAAACAGAGCCAUUUGGUCAUAUGUACAGAUAGGUAGAUAGGUAGGUAGAUAGAUAGAUAGAUAGAUGAUUGAUAGAUAGAUAGACAGACAGAGAGACAGACGAUUGAUAGACAGAUCCCUUUUCCCACACUUAUGUUACAUGAUAACAUGGCUGUAAAAUAUUCUCCUUACCUACUAGGAACAAAAAGAUGAAACCCCACCCAGCAAUGCUGGCAGACCUGGCCCAGUUUUAAACUGUCGUCAAGCAAAGUCCUCCCCUCCUCCCUCUCUCCACGGCCCCAUAAGCAAACAGAAAGACUCAGAUAAGUGUUCAGAGAGUUCCCGUGCUUCCUGCUGGCUGCAGCAGGCAGCCAGUUUCCUGGAGGAGGAGCCUCCUACCUGGGAAAUCCCAGACCCAGAACCCUGGCAAAGAAACUAAAAACCCAAAGAAAACUGUUGUUCACAUGACAGGAAUGCAAAGAAUGAUGGGUGGUGGGGCACAUGGCAGAAAGAAGCCUGGCAUGUGUGAGGCCUGGGUUUGGUGCCCAGAACCACACACCCACCCACACACCCACCCAC